AAUCAACGCUGGCGGCGUGCCUCAGACAUGCAAGUCGAACGAUUAACGCUCUCUUCGGAGAGUGCAUAGAGUGGCGCACGGGUGAGUAACACGUAAGAAAUCUACCCUCGAGUGGGGAAUAACGUCCGGAAACGGGCGCUAAUACCGCAUAAUGCAGCGGCAUCACAAGAUGACAGUUGCUAAAGAUUUAUCGCUUGAGGAGGGGCUUGAGGCAGAUUAGCUUGUUGGUAAGGUAACGGCUUACCAAGGCUACGAUCUGUAACCGGUUUUAGAGGACGGACGGUCACACUGACACUGAAUACCGGGUCAGACUCCUACGGGAGGCAGCAGUCGGGAAUUUUGGGCAAUGGGCGAAAGCCUGAACCAGCAACGCCGCGUGAAGGAUGAAGUAUUUCGGUAUGUAAACUUCGAAAGAAUAGGAAGAAUUAAUGACGGUACUAUUUAUAAGGUCCGGCUAACUACGUGCCAGCAGCCGCAGUAA
RNAcentral lists this ribosomal RNA (481 nucleotides) under uncultured bacterium. Its description in RNAcentral is "partial 16S ribosomal RNA". It matches the Rfam family "Bacterial small subunit ribosomal RNA", at positions 32 to 523 of the family's 1533-position model. The record is from RNAcentral.